GGGCCGGUAACUCAGUGGUAGAGUGUAGGACUGCAGUUUGUUUCUGGUUUCCCGAAGUCACCGGUUCGACUCCGGUUCGGCCCU
Molecule: non-coding RNA, 84 nt
Organism: Polyplosphaeria fusca
Lineage: Eukaryota; Fungi; Ascomycota; Dothideomycetes; Pleosporales; Tetraplosphaeriaceae
Source: the annotation of a GenBank genome assembly